Podarcis lilfordi (Lilford's wall lizard) is the source of this 137-nucleotide non-coding RNA. Lineage: Eukaryota; Metazoa; Chordata; Lepidosauria; Squamata; Lacertidae. The record is from the annotation of a GenBank genome assembly.
GACAGGACACAAAAUUGAGAAAAGGGGGGGAGGGAGGGGAAAAAAUUAAAAAUGGGGUAGGGAAGAAAAGAGAAGAGGGUGGGUGGUUUUUUCCCCCUCCCCCUCCCUUCUCUUUUUCUCCCCCCUUCUUCUUUCGU